AUUGAACGCUGGCGGCAUGCCUUACACAUGCAAGUCGAACGGUAACGCGGGGCAACCUGGCGACGAGUGGCGAACGGGUGAGUAAUGCAUCGGAACGUGUCCAGUAGUGGGGGAUAGCCCGGCGAAAGCCGGAUUAAUACCGCAUACGACCUAUGGGUGAAAGCGGGGGACCGUAAGGCCUCGCGCUAUUGGAGCGGCCGAUGUCAGAUUAGGUUGUUGGUGGGGUAAAAGCCUACCAAGCCGACGAUCUGUAGCUGGUCUGAGAGGACGACCAGCCACACUGGGACUGAGACACGGCCCAGACUCCUACGGGAGGCAGCAGUGGGGAAUUUUGGACAAUGGGCGAAAGCCUGAUCCAGCCAUGCCGCGUGCGGGAAGAAGGCCUCCGGGUUGUAAACCGCUUUUGUCGGGGAAGAAAUCUUCUGGGUUAAUACCCUGGGGGGAUGACGGUACCGUAAGAAGAAGCACCGGCUAACUACGUGCCAGCAGCCGCGGUAA
RNAcentral lists this ribosomal RNA (498 nucleotides) under uncultured bacterium. RNAcentral's name for it is "partial 16S ribosomal RNA". It matches the Rfam family "Bacterial small subunit ribosomal RNA", at positions 29 to 523 of the family's 1533-position model. The record is from RNAcentral.